UGGGAGAAAGAACAAUGGUCACGCAGCCUC
This 30-nucleotide non-coding RNA is filed under the name Mus musculus (house mouse). The record is from RNAcentral. Lineage: Eukaryota; Metazoa; Chordata; Mammalia; Rodentia; Muridae.